This 433-nucleotide ribosomal RNA is filed under the name uncultured bacterium. RNAcentral describes it as "partial 16S ribosomal RNA". It matches the Rfam family "Bacterial small subunit ribosomal RNA", at positions 29 to 507 of the family's 1533-position model. The record is from RNAcentral.
AACGAACGCUGGCGGCAUGCCUAACACAUGCAAGUCGAACGAGAGCUUCGGGUCUAGUGGCGCACGGGUGCGUAACGCGUGGGAACCUGCCCUUAGGUUCGGAAUAACUCCCCGAAAGGGGUGCUAAUACCGGAUAAUGUCUUCGGACCAAAGAUUUAUCGCCUUUGGAUGGGCCCGCGUUGGAUUAGCUAGUUGGUAGGGUAAAAGCCUACCAAGGCGACGAUCCAUAGCUGGUCUGAGAGGAUGAUCAGCCACACUGGGACUGAGACACGGCCCAGACUCCUACGGGAGGCAGCAGUGGGGAAUAUUGGACAAUCGGCGAAAGCCUGAUCCAGCAAUGCCGCGUGAGUGAUGAAGGCCUUAGGGUUGUAAAGCUCUUUUACCCGGGAUGAUAAUGACAGUACCGGGAGAAUAAGCUCCGGCUAACUCCGUG